CUACGGGGUGCUGCAGUGGGGAAUAUUGGACAAUGGGGGAAACCCUGAUCCAGCAAUGCCGCGUGUGUGAAGAAGGCCUGCGGGUUGUAAAGCACUUUCGGUUGGGAGGACUGCUUCUAGCACUAAUAUUGUUGGAAGUUGACGUUACCUUCAGAAGAAGCACCGGCUAACUCCGUGCCAGCAGCCGCGGUAAUACGGAGGGUGCAAGCGUUAAUCGGAAUUACUGGGCGUAAAGCGCGCGUAGGCGGCUAGAUCAGUCGGGUGUGAAGGCCCCGGGCUUAACCUGGGAACUGCAUCCGAUACUGUCUAGCUUGAGUACAGGAGAGGAGAGUGGAAUUCCACAUGUAGCGGUGACAUGCGUAGAUAUGUGGAGGAACACCAAUGGCGAAGGCAGCUCUCUGGCCUGAUACUGACGCUGAGGUGCUAAAGCGUGGGGAGCAAACAGGAUUAGAUACCCGCGUAGUC
RNAcentral lists this ribosomal RNA (465 nucleotides) under uncultured bacterium. Its description in RNAcentral is "partial 16S ribosomal RNA". It matches the Rfam family "Bacterial small subunit ribosomal RNA", at positions 339 to 795 of the family's 1533-position model. The record is from RNAcentral.